Molecule: unclassified non-coding RNA, 305 nt
Filed under: Hevea brasiliensis (rubber tree)
Lineage: Eukaryota; Viridiplantae; Streptophyta; Magnoliopsida; Malpighiales; Euphorbiaceae
Source: RNAcentral
AAACCACCUUCGAUUUCUUCGUUCCGAGACCUAAUGUAAGUGUAUGCCAAGCAUGAUGAGCUAAGAUUGUGAAAUUUGUGGGUAAAUAAGCUGUAGUUGAAGUGAAAUUGAAACUAGAACUGGAGUUUUUGGUUGACGGCGGAGAAAGGGAGAGGAUACGGAGGAGUUCUAACGGCCGUGCACGGCGGAUUGUGAAGGAUUUAACGAUGAAUUGACCGCCGAAUCGAAGACCUUUAACAUCGGAAAUGGGUUUAAAAGUGAAAUCUGAAGUGGGUUUUGGAGAUUCAUCAUUUGGGUGUUUGUGU